GGCCCUACGGGGCGCAGCAGGCGCGAAAACUUUGCAAUGCGGGAAACCGUGACAAGGGAACUCUGAGUGCCCGUAAAAUCGGGCUGUCCAUCAGUUUAAACAACUGGUGAAGAAAGGGCCGGGCAAGACCGGUGCCAGCCGCCGCGGUAAUACCGGCGGCUCGAGUGGUGGCCACUAUUACUGGGCUUAAAGCGUUCGUAGCUGGUCUGUUAAGUCCCUGGGGAAAUCUUCCGGCUUAACCGGAAGGCGUCUCAGAGAUACUGGCAGACUAGGGACCGGAAGAGGUGAGAGGUACUCCAGGGGUAGGAGUGAAAUCCUGUAAUCCUUGGGGGACCACCUGUGGCGAAGGCGUCUCACCAGAACGGCUCCGACAGUGAGGGACGAAAGCUGGGGGAGCAAACCGGAUUAGAUACCCGGGUAGUCCUAGCUGUAAACGAUGCGCGUUGGGUGUAUCAGUGACCACGAGUUACUGAGGUGCCGAAGAGAAAUCGUGAAACGCGCCGCCUGGGAAGUACGGUCGCAAGGCUGAAACU
RNAcentral lists this ribosomal RNA (533 nucleotides) under uncultured archaeon. RNAcentral describes it as "bacterial SSU rRNA". It matches the Rfam family "Archaeal small subunit ribosomal RNA", at positions 319 to 856 of the family's 1478-position model. The record is from RNAcentral.